This 440-nucleotide ribosomal RNA is filed under the name uncultured bacterium. RNAcentral's name for it is "partial 16S ribosomal RNA". It matches the Rfam family "Bacterial small subunit ribosomal RNA", at positions 338 to 795 of the family's 1533-position model. The record is from RNAcentral.
CCUACGGGUGGCAGCAGUAAGGGAUAUUGGACAAUGGGGGAAACCCUGAUCCAGCAACGCCGCGUGAGGGAAGACGGGUUUCGGAUUGUAAACCUCUGUCCUCGGUGAAGAUGAUGACGGUGGCAGAGGAGGAAGCUGCGGCUACCUACGAGCCAGCAGCAGCGGUAAUAGUAAGGGAGCGGGCGUUGUCCGGAUUUACUGGGUGUAAAGGGUGCGUAGGCGGCUUUGCAAGUCAGGAGUGAAAGGCAUGGGCUCAACCCAUGCACUGCUAUUGAAACUGUGGAGCUUGAGUGAAGUAGAGGUAAGCGGAAUUCCCGGUGUAGCGGUGAAAUGCGUAGAGAUCGGGAGGAACACCAGUGGCGAAGGCGGCCUACUGGGCUUUAACUGACGCUGAGGCACGAAAGCGUGGGUAGCAAACAGGAUUAGAUACCCUUGUAGUC